This 440-nucleotide ribosomal RNA is filed under the name uncultured bacterium. RNAcentral's name for it is "partial 16S ribosomal RNA". It matches the Rfam family "Bacterial small subunit ribosomal RNA", at positions 338 to 795 of the family's 1533-position model. The record is from RNAcentral.
CCUACGGGAGGCAGCAGUGGGGAAUAUUGCACAAUGGGGGAAACCCUGAUGCAGCGACGCCGCGUGAGCGAUGAAGUAUUUCGGUAUGUAAAGCUCUAUCAGCAGGGAAGAAAAUGACGGUACUUGACUAAGAAGCCCCGGCCAACUACGUGCCAGCAGCCGUGGUAAAACGGAGGGGGCAAGCGUUAUCCGGAUUUACCGGGUGUAAAGGGAGCGUAGACGGCUGUGCAAGCCAGAUGUGAAAGCCCGGGGCUCAACCCCGGGACUGCAGUUGAAACUGGGUGGCUGGAGUGUCGGAGAGGCAGGCGGAAUUCCUGGUGUAGCGGUGAAAUGCGUAGAUAUUAGGAGGAACACCAGUGGCGAAGGCGGCCUGCUGGACGAUGACUGACGUUGAGGCUCGAAAGCGUGGGGAGCGAACAGGAUUAGAUACCCUGGUAGUC